This 404-nucleotide ribosomal RNA is filed under the name Klebsiella oxytoca. Its description in RNAcentral is "bacterial SSU rRNA". It matches the Rfam family "Bacterial small subunit ribosomal RNA", at positions 67 to 469 of the family's 1533-position model. Lineage: Bacteria; Pseudomonadati; Pseudomonadota; Gammaproteobacteria; Enterobacterales; Enterobacteriaceae. The record is from RNAcentral.
CGGUAGCACAGAGAGCUUGCUCUCGGGUGACGAGUGGCGGACGGGUGAGUAAUGUCUGGGAAACUGCCUGAUGGAGGGGGAUAACUACUGGAAACGGUAGCUAAUACCGCAUAACGUCGCAAGACCAAAGAGGGGGACCUUCGGGCCUCUUGCCAUCAGAUGUGCCCAGAUGGGAUUAGCUGGUAGGUGGGGUAACGGCUCACCUAGGCGACGAUCCCUAGCUGGUCUGAGAGGAUGACCAGCCACACUGGAACUGAGACACGGUCCAGACUCCUACGGGAGGCAGCAGUGGGGAAUAUUGCACAAUGGGCGCAAGCCUGAUGCAGCCAUGCCGCGUGUAUGAAGAAGGCCUUCGGGUUGUAAAGUACUUUCAGCGGGGAGGAAGGUGAUGAGGUUAAUAACCU